RNAcentral lists this ribosomal RNA (386 nucleotides) under uncultured prokaryote. RNAcentral's name for it is "bacterial SSU rRNA". It matches the Rfam family "Archaeal small subunit ribosomal RNA", at positions 339 to 725 of the family's 1478-position model. The record is from RNAcentral.
GCGCGAAAACUUUACAAUGCUGGCAACAGCGAUAAGGGAACCUCGAGUGCCAGGUUACAAAUCUGGCUGUCGAGAUGCCUAAAAAGCAUUUCAUAGCAAGGGCCGGGCAAGACCGGUGCCAGCCGCCGCGGUAACACCGGCGGCUCGAGUGGUAACCGUUAUUAUUGGGUCUAAAGGGUCUGUAGCCGGCCGGAUAAGUCUCUUGAGAAAUCUGGCAGCUUAACUGUCAGGCUUUCAGGAGAUACUGUCUGGCUCGAGGCCGGGAGAGGUGAGAGGUACUUCAGGGGUAGGGGUGAAAUCUUGUAAUCCUUGAAGGACCACCAGUGGCGAAGGCGUCUCACCAGAACGGAUCUGACGGCAAGGGACGAAAGCUAGGGGCACGAACA